Molecule: ribosomal RNA, 446 nt
Filed under: Pseudomonas sp. R-27199
Lineage: Bacteria; Pseudomonadati; Pseudomonadota; Gammaproteobacteria; Pseudomonadales; Pseudomonadaceae
Description: bacterial SSU rRNA
Rfam family: Bacterial small subunit ribosomal RNA
Source: RNAcentral
AUUGAACGCUGGCGGCAGGCCUAACACAUGCAAGUCGAGCGGUAGAGAGAAGCUUGCUUCUCUUGAGAGCGGCGGACGGGUGAGUAAUGCCUAGGAAUCUGCCUGGUAGUGGGGGAUAACGUUCGGAAACGAACGCUAAUACCGCAUACGUCCUACGGGAGAAAGCAGGGGACCUUCGGGCCUUGCGCUAUCAGAUGAGCCUAGGUCGGAUUAGCUAGUUGGUGAGGUAAUGGCUCACCAAGGCGACGAUCCGUAACUGGUCUGAGAGGAUGAUCAGUCACACUGGAACUGAGACACGGUCCAGACUCCUACGGGAGGCAGCAGUGGGGAAUAUUGGACAAUGGGCGAAAGCCUGAUCCAGCCAUGCCGCGUGUGUGAAGAAGGUCUUCGGAUUGUAAAGCACUUUAAGUUGGGAGGAAGGGCAGUUACCUAAUACGUAAUUGUUU